UCUCCGGAACGAAUCCUCGAGGUUGGC
Molecule: small RNA, 27 nt
Filed under: Bombyx mori (domestic silkworm)
Lineage: Eukaryota; Metazoa; Arthropoda; Insecta; Lepidoptera; Bombycidae
Description: ovarian small RNA-29650
Source: RNAcentral